UGAAGUAGCUGAGGUGCCUUACCCUCGCAGAUUUAUCAUCAUGUGACACAAAAAAAGCACAGGCAAACCCAGAAAGCAUUAAUGGGUUGUUAACCUGUUGUAGAGCGAUAACUAUUGCUGUGCAGGGAUUUGCAAUAUGCUCUGUAAAGAGUCCAUGAGAAAUAGAAAUCAAGAUCUGUGGCCAACACAAGAGGUGGGGAGAAGCCAAAACAUACAAUGGCUUAACAGUUACAAACGCACCAGCCAGGCAGCCUUGGGGAUGAGAGGGAAGGGCGGAGCUGGGCAGGGACCCCAGGGCUGUUGGCCAUGUCUGCAAAUUACGGAGCAACUAACAGUGUGAGCACCC
Molecule: long non-coding RNA, 346 nt
Filed under: Bos taurus (domestic cattle)
Lineage: Eukaryota; Metazoa; Chordata; Mammalia; Artiodactyla; Bovidae
Description: long non-coding RNA NONBTAT020105
Source: RNAcentral